GGUGGCGUGUCCGAGCGGCCGAAGGUACUCGCCUCGAAAGCGAGUGUUGUGUAAAAGCAACCGAGGGUUCAAAUCCCUCCGCCACCGCCA
This 90-nucleotide transfer RNA is filed under the name Corynebacterium jeikeium. Its description in RNAcentral is "tRNA-Ser(cga)". It matches the Rfam family "tRNA". From Rfam's summary of the family: Transfer RNA (tRNA) molecules are approximately 80 nucleotides in length. Their secondary structure includes four short double-helical elements and three loops (D, anti-codon, and T loops). RNAcentral also lists the same sequence under 5 other names. Lineage: Bacteria; Bacillati; Actinomycetota; Actinomycetes; Mycobacteriales; Corynebacteriaceae. The record is from RNAcentral.